Molecule: transfer RNA, 76 nt
Filed under: Promethearchaeota archaeon
Lineage: Archaea; Promethearchaeati; Promethearchaeota
Also listed under: 2 other names
Description: Candidatus Lokiarchaeota archaeon tRNA-Tyr
Rfam family: tRNA
About the family: Transfer RNA (tRNA) molecules are approximately 80 nucleotides in length. Their secondary structure includes four short double-helical elements and three loops (D, anti-codon, and T loops). Further hydrogen bonds mediate the characteristic L-shaped molecular structure. tRNAs have two regions of fundamental functional importance: the anti-codon, which is responsible for specific mRNA codon recognition, and the 3' end, to which the tRNAs corresponding amino acid is attached (by aminoacyl-tRNA synthetases). tRNAs cope with the degeneracy of the genetic code in two manners: having more than one tRNA (with a specific anti-codon) for a particular amino acid; and 'wobble' base-pairing, i.e. permitting non-standard base-pairing at the 3rd anti-codon position.
Source: RNAcentral
CCCGACGUAGUUUAGUGGCUAGAACGCCCGGCUGUAGACCGGGAUGUCGCCGGUCCGAGUCCGGCCGUCGGGACCA